Molecule: ribosomal RNA, 467 nt
Filed under: uncultured bacterium
Lineage: Bacteria
Description: partial 16S ribosomal RNA
Rfam family: Bacterial small subunit ribosomal RNA
Source: RNAcentral
GACGAACGCUGGCGGCGUGCUUAGCACAUGCAAGUCGAACGGAAAGGCCCUGCUUUUGUGGGGUGCUCGAGUGGCGAACGGGUGAGUAACACGUGAGUAACCUGCCCUUGACUUUGGGAUAACUUCAGGAAACUGGGGCUAAUACCGGAUAGGAGCUCCUGAUGCAUGGUGGGGGUUGGAAAGUUUCGGCGGUUGGGGAUGGACUCGCGGCUUAUCAGCUUGUUGGUGGGGUAGUGGCUUACCAAGGCUUUGACGGGUAGCCGGCCUGAGAGGGUGACCGGCCACAUUGGGACUGAGAUACGGCCCAGACUCCUACGGGAGGCAGCAGUGGGGAAUAUUGCACAAUGGGCGGAAGCCUGAUGCAGCAACGCCGCGUGCGGGAUGACGGCCUUCGGGUUGUAAUCCGCUUUCGCCUGUGACGAAGCGUGAGUGACGGUAAUGGGUAAAGAAGCACCGGCUAACUACGU